Molecule: ribosomal RNA, 357 nt
Filed under: Triticum aestivum (bread wheat)
Lineage: Eukaryota; Viridiplantae; Streptophyta; Magnoliopsida; Poales; Poaceae
Description: partial small subunit ribosomal RNA
Source: RNAcentral
AUGGCCUUUUUUCUGCAUGGGGGCCUGCUCUGUUCUCCUUUUUUUUGUGCCCAUCUCACCAACUCUUUUCACAUGCAUGACCAGUUUUCGUUCCCGGCACUAGAGGUUCUUGACAAGGAGAAUCCAAAGGAGUCGGGCCACUACUGGUCGAUGGUGUUGAAAAUUAGGGACAAGCGUUUCAAGAUGCUAGACUCGGCAAGGACGCUCAAAGAUAAGGCAUUCCUGUCAACCGCAAACAAAAUCAUGGAGGGGAUUAAAGCAAAUUGGGAGAAGCACUAUAACACCUCAAGCGUGCAGAUCAAAGAUUGCAAACUACAAGAAAUCAAAUGCCCAAAGCAGGACAACAUGCAAGUCUAG